UCCGAAGGCACGCGCCGCAAAAGAAGGCAACCUAGGGUUUCUAAGGAUGUCGAAAUCUCCUGCGAAGAAAACGAGAUUCCUCUAUCGUUUCUAGAUCCAGAAAAUAACGAUCCGUUUCAAAACCGUGGGAGGAGAAGCAUAAUGAGGAGGAGUUAGAUCGGCUCAGUUCUCUCCUACGCGUCAGGUUUGGAUAUUCUUUUUCCGCCAAGAUGAGUUAUUUUUUAUGAUUCUCUGCCAGAUCUGUUUAUUCCAUCAUAUGUAACUAUUUUUAUGAUUUGAAAUAUGAAAUCAGUGCUAUCUUUUUAACAAAUUUUAUUGGAUACCGAAGUGGUGUAAGAACGGAUGCCAAAAGUUCGACAUCAUGACUGUUGACUGUUAUGGUUUACUACGCAAAAUUUGGAGAGAAAAGGUGGCGAAUGGGCUUUCUAUCGUCUCUCUCCCAACACCAGCAUAACCCAUGUAUAAUGAUCAAAAGUUGAUAUUAAUCCAGACUACCAUUAUGCCAAUGCUUUUCGAAGAUUAGGCUUGGUUUUGGAGAGUUUUUGAUGAAAUAAAUAAGGCUUAAUAAUAACAUCAUUUCGUAUGGUAGCUUUUGAUGGAAAUUUCUAAUAGUUUCUUGGAAAUAGCCAAACUGCUUCUUGCUGAAAGUAAAGAAUUAACUCAUAUCGAGUUACAAAUUAAGAAUCUAUGUUGGUUUAUAAAUAAUCUUGAUCUUUUCACAAAUCAUUACAAAUGGAAGAAGUUGAUUGAUUGUUAUUGCUAAUUGAAUUAUGAGACAAAAUAAUAAUUUGAUAUUUGUGAAUGCCUAUUUUCUGAAGUGGUGCAUGGUUUGGACAGUUUUAUUCUCUAUGAACCUGCAGAAAGUAGUCAAAACUUAGACUAAGUUCUAGUUGCCUAGAAAUUCUUUGGAUAGGUCUAUAUGGAUCAGAUCAUACAAAAAGACACCCAAUUUGCAGUUCUAGUCGUCUAGGUUUCAAUUAAUUGAUUUUGAGGAAUCAAUGGAUUGGUAUGUCCUCGACAUCUAUGUUUUGAGUUCUUAUCACAUUCUCAUAAAUUAGUUGCUGCUUUUGUACCUUCUAAAGCAUGGGAUUCCAAAACUACUGUAGAAGUCAUGGAUACUCGGAACCAAUAUUCUUAUAUCCAUGGAAAAUGAAAGUCAUUUUAAUUGAGCCCUUGUCAUUAGCCUUUUGCUCUAACACCUUCAUGCACAUGAAGUUCUUGCACUACUAUGAAAAUUCAAUAACGGAGUUUUAUCUUGUAUUUAUUGUCAAACAUCCUUGUGGCAUUUCAGUAUUAGAAGGUGAAAAAAUUGUUACAUCUAGUGCUUAUAUUCAUCUUAGGUCCCAUUUGUGAUGGGCAACAUAAACUAUAUAAAGGAUACUUAAGAUUUUGUUGUAUUUGUAUAGCACUUUUAAAAAACUUUAGUCAUCCUUCUUACUUGCUUUUUUGAUUCGUAAUUUGACAGUUUGUAAAUUUGCUCAUUGUGUUAGUUUACCUGAAAUUUGAGCGUAGUUCAUAGGGAAUAUUGCUUCCUUUUUAGAUUAAUACAUCAUGUACUAAAGUAGGCCCUUAAAUAAGCAUGGAAACAUAUAGAUUUUUUUCUUAUUCUUUCUAAAAUUUUACAUAGUUAUUUCAUAAUUUUAACUUAUCUUUAUCUAACUUUAUGAAUUCUACUUAUCUUCAUCCAUACCAUAUACGAAAUUGAAAAUCUUGAAAUCAUGGAAUGUUCUUUCUUGAUUUAAUCUAUCAUUUUUUUAUACCGAGAAAUCCUCCCACUUAUCUUCAUUGAUUAUCUCGCUCAUUCUCUGUAUGCUAUCACAUGCAUAUGCUGUCUUUACUCCUUUCCCUAUCAAAUUGGACCCCUCUCGCAAAGCUUCCAAAUAGAUGUGGACUCUAUAUCUUGCUUUACACAGAUGAGAUUCUUUGAUUCAAUUCCCAAGCUAAUCGGACUCUCUCUCUCUGAGUCUCUUGUUCGACUUAAAAUGUAUGUGGUCUUCCAACCUCCUUUUCUUUCCCUCAAACAUGCAUUACAAACGUCUGAUUGCUAGUAUUUUUAAAAUACUUGCAUUAGAACCUGCAUAUGCACUUGCGUAAUAUAUAUGCACUAUGAGGUACCUUGACCUCUUGCAUGGAUUAUUUUGGAGAGAAAAUAGUUCAUCUGCCGCUCUUGUCAAGUCCUAACUUGGUCAUUUAAAGAGUUGUUUGAUAAUAAGUCUUGUAUUCAAGCUUGAAGUUUUACAUGCAUGCAAUUAAUGCUGCACCUGCUAUAUUUUGUCCUGUUAUGAACUCAAAUUUAUGAAAUGCAUGCAUUGAUGGAUGAUGAUUAUGACCAAUGGUUUUGACAAACUAAUAAUGUAAUAACAACAUUUGGAUUGAUUUAGGUUGGGUCUGUGGAAAGAUAAAUUUAUAUAAGGCACGCAUUCAUUGUAAAUGAUAUGCAAUUAGUGGAUGCGGCAAACUAGAUGCUCAAAGACCAAAAUUUCUUUUUGUAUAGAUAAUCAUUUGAUGUCUUAGAUAAAACAAAUAACUGAAAUAUAUGCAAUGUGCAGGAUCAGCUAACAUAGAUUGAAAAUAUCACGAUACUCAUCCCAUUUCCACUUUAUUCAGUGGAUAUCAGAUAGGGGUAUGGUGUCAAUUUGAUGCCAAAAUUUGUAUUCAUACUUAUUAUAAAUGGACAUAUUUGUUCAAUAUGGAUGUGGAUAUGAAUAGGAUGCUAGGCAUAUCCUUGUUUAAAGAAAUCUAAAUAUGAAAUGGUUAUUAGUGAAGAAACUUCAAGGAACUAAAGAGCCUUAUUCACUGCUUCAUUAGCAUUUUAGUGUUAAAUUAGCCUGUGAUGAAAAGCUCUAUGCAAAUAAAAUCUGGAGAAAAAAAAUACACUCAUGGAAUCGAUGUGGCCUUGAAGGUUAAUACCAUCUUCGUAUGUAGGUAACUAUGACAUGAGAAAUCUAUGUAAUCAACUCAGCAACAUUUAAGAAACAAACUCAGUAAUCUUUAUGAAAUGAAACUCGAUGGUUUAAAACUGAACCAAGGCAUGGUGUCAUGGAUGAUUAGUAAUGGAUGUAAAUCAUGAUGUGUAGCUGAUUGCUGAAAAAGACAAAAGAUAUUGUUUAAAUAGUAGGGUUAAAAUAUAGAAUGAUGUGCAGUGCAAGACUUGUUUUGGGAUUAAUGCAUGAUAGUUGAUUGCUUUUGCAUGUCACGCCAAAACCGUGCCCACAUCAUUUGUGCAUGUAUCUCAAAGUCCUCACAUCACAUCUAGCUCCAGUGGAAACAAUAUUUGUACUGCGGAUGGAGGUAAAAGAGACAAAUGAAGGUCUUGGAGCUUGCGCGUGGAACUUAGCUGCUAGAACUAGAAGUAGGUGCAAGCAUGGGGAAGUGGACUUUUUGGGACACAUUGCUUAUUGCUGAAAAAAUCCUUUUGCAACUUUUAAACCAGAAAAGUACUUCCUAAAAAAAUAACUUUUUGGUAAUAAUACUUAGAAAUGCUUCUAUAAAUAGAAAAGCCAAAAAAGCAUUGUAAAGUGAAGCUAGAAAAUCUAGAUUUCGGCGUUUUCUUUUGUAAGAAGAAUGUUUUAAAAGGAAAUAGGGGCACCAAACAUUCCUCAUUAACACUUUUAGUAAGGAAUCGCUUAGGAAUCUAGUGCACUUUUGAAAUUUUGAGAAAAAUCUGAAGUAGAUUAUUUAUCCUAGUAGAAGAUUUUGAUUACUAAGGUAGUGCAGCUGGCAGAAGUUUGGAAGAGACAAGAAUAAGAUUUGGAUUAUCUCAUUUUAUUUUAUAACUAGUAUGUGGGAGGUGUGAUGCUUGUGUAUGUGUUUUCUUAAAAAGUUAUAAAGGUGAUAAAUAAUUAAUAUUAGGACAAAAGUUUGAACCCUUGAUUUAAUGGUUCACAGCCAUAUAUUCUAAGCUAUUGUAGCAUGAGAGAUGGAUUGUUGGAAAACAGACAAGUUGGGAGGCACAAAUAUGCAAAAAGCUAUUUUUGGAACAGAAAAUUGGGGGUGCACGAAUGGAGCCUCUAGAGAAGGGGCACCAAGGAGUUUUGUUUGAAUAAUAGAAUAGGAGUAUUUAAUUUUUAAAGGUUUAUAUGUAGUCGGAUAUCCAGAUUUAGAUCUAGAAAAAAACACUUAAAUCUGGAUAUAUAUUUGGAUUGAGGUAUAUUCUGUGAUCUAUCUUACCUACUUUCAGCCCUAAUUUAGGACAAAAAAUGAUGUACUACUAGUGACUAAGUAAGACAGUCUUAUAAUUUUUCUUUCGUACCAUAUACUAUUUGUGGAACUUUAAUAUGCAAAUUUUUUUUAGAUGUAUGCAUUGUUAGGUUACUGGCACAUUCAUUCUAAGGUGAGACGCAAAAACAACCAUUGUCUUUCAAUAAUGUUGAUUACAUAAUUGCGGGAUGUAAAAUCUUAAAAUCCAUUAUUUUAUUUAAACAUGAGAGGGCAAACCUUGGCGUAAUGGUAAGGUGACUGCAUUGCAACCGAGGUUUCAUAUAUUUGAACUAUAGAAACAACCUCCCAGGGCUUUGUACGUAUGACCCUUCCUAAGCACUGUAGCUAUAGAAGCCUCCUGCACUGCCUCUUCAUUUUAUUUAAACAUGAUGCAAUACAAUUCGGGUUUUGCAAUCUGUGUAGGGAUGAAUCACACUUUAGAGAGAUUAAAUUUACAUAUGGGACAAGCCUUCAUUGAAGAAAAUUAGAGAAGAAGGAUUUGAGCAUUUAUUAUCUUCUGAUGAAACCAUUUUCAGUCUCCAUUUUAGAAACCAAAACUAGUAUAGAAAUACUCCUUGGAGGCCAGGACUUGCUCAUAACUUUGUGAGUAGUACUAGACAUAGAUAAUAAAUGAAAGAAGAGCAAACAAUGGAGAUGUCUGGUUGGCAAGGAGCUAUGACCCUUUAUCUUUCCCUUUUGUGUUCUUUUUUCUUUGUUUUGCCUUCUUUCCAUCUCUCUCUUUUUUCUCCUCCUCCUUUCCUUUUUUAUCUAUUAGGCACCUAAAAUUUGUAGGCUUCUUAAUUUAGUGCUAGUCUUUCCCUAGUUGACAUGAAUAAGUCGGGGGCUUCCUACAACUUAGAAUAAACACUUAAUCCACAUGGUGGCACCGUAAAAUAGACCCAAGCCUUGUUAUCGAUCCAUCAAACAACCUAAAUCUUAGAGUUAAUCCUUUCAAAACAUAAAAUGACCGUAAGAGGUCUGGAUGAAAUAUUGACUCCCAAAGACAAAAGAACAAAUGUAACAGAAAUAGAAACCUCUAAAAGUAAAAUUGCAUCGAUUGAAACUUAAACUAAGGAUGAAUUCAUGAAUAGAAUGUACGAGUAGAUUUCAGUGAAACUAAGGAUGAAUUCAUGAGUGCAAUGUACAAGUAGAUUUUAGUGGAUCAUGAAAGCUAAUGGGAAGACUAGAUCAAUGGCAUUAUUCUAGCUUGGGAUCUCUAUGUUUAUCAAGAAAGCAUCCUCUGAUAAGAUCCGAAAAACUUAGUUUUGGUUUUGGUCCUGAUUUGAUUUAUAGUUUCCACUUUGGCAGUUUUCAUGGUUUGAGACUUUCAGGUAUGCUAACAGUAGAUUUGGUUGAGAAUUGUAAAAAAUCCAACUCAUGUCAAUUAAAAUUACAAAGCUGGAGUAAAGAAAUCCAAAUCCUGUGAACCAAAAUUAUUAAAGCUGCCUUGGUAGUGCAAAAAUUGUCAUUUGGCUGGAGUACGUACUAGCGUGAUAUUUGGUCGUUUGGUUGACAAAUUCCAGCAAUAUUAUUUUUAUAUGCCAGGAUUGAUGACCAACAUGCCUAUUUAUUAUGCAUUUAAUUGCAAGAUAUAUGUCAUGCUCAUAUAUGUGCAUGGUUGGUACUGUCUUUUAUUUGAAAAUUAGAAGUAUGAUCUGUUGGGGAAAUAUGUUAUGCUUGUUUUACUGAUUUUAACUUUUCUUAUAAAUAGUAGCCUGAUGUAGUAGGAAGAAGUUUUUGUACUACAGAAUCUACAAAUAUCACCUUUUUGCCCAAGAUUUUCUUCUAAAGGAGAUUGAGUUGUCAGGGGAAAACUCUUGCUUGAGAGCCUUGAUUUUUCAUUAUUUUUUUUAUAUAGUUUGACCUUCCUUUUCUGUAAAAUAACAAUUACCGAGACGUGUCGUAUAAAACUGAUGUUUGGGCAUUAAUUGCCAGAAGGCAUUGUGAACCAUAACUUUCCCCUUUUUGCAGCAGCAUACUAAUGGGAAAUGUUGUGGUUCAUGGUGCUUCUAGGUUAUUUCGCUUACAUACUGCUAUAUAUAUUAUAUCGUAUUGAAUAUGUGCAUGUUACUAAAAACUUGUUAAUAAUAGUGAUCAUUUAAUUUAGGAAAAUCGAGAACAUUGAAUCUCCAAUUUUUUCCAUAAAAUGGCUGGUAGUUACCACAAUUGCUUUGUUUUAAACUAAAUGUCAGUUUUGUAUGGCAAAGAAUUAUUGAUAGACUAUUAUAAGUUUAUUUAUUACCUUAAUUCUCACACAAUGCCACUGUGGAAAGCUUCUGGAAGAACCUUUUCAUGUUAUUAUGCCAUAUUGAUACUAUGCGUUAUGGUAUUAAUUUCUUUUUGAUAAUGGAGUCCGAUGGAGAGGUUUUUAAAAAUCAUUGCUGUAGUUUUGGGUCUUCUUUCAUGUCUUCUUCUGAUGACUUAUCUUUCUUUCGUUCUAACUAUAUUUCCUCUAUUCUAUUUUUAGGGUACACAUUAAAACAUUAUGCACGAGGAAUACUUGGAAUCUUGCGGUCUUGUUGCAAAUGUCGAUCAAAAUUCUAGGGCUAAGAUAUGGAGAGGUAGACCCCCAGAUUUUAUUGGUGGCACCCUUCAAUCGGAUGCAUAUUUAAAGCUCAGAGUCCGAUCCCUAUGCACCAAUUUUUCAAGUAGCAAGGUUUGGCAAUUAGCAUAGAACUUAUUUUCCUUCUACUAUAUCUUAAGAAUUUGAAAAAGGAUUUUAUUGCUAGCUUUGCAUGUUUGAUAUCUAGUAGUCAAAUUCAUAAGCCAUGGAUAAGAAUCCACCGGAAUAAAGUGGGUUACUAUUUGAUGUUUAUAAUUUAAAAAUUGUUAUAAUACAUACAUACAUCUAUAUAUAUAU
Molecule: long non-coding RNA, 7060 nt
Filed under: Phoenix dactylifera (date palm)
Lineage: Eukaryota; Viridiplantae; Streptophyta; Magnoliopsida; Arecales; Arecaceae
Description: long non-coding RNA (PDAC_LNC010578)
Source: RNAcentral